Molecule: ribosomal RNA, 301 nt
Filed under: uncultured bacterium
Lineage: Bacteria
Description: partial 16S ribosomal RNA
Rfam family: Bacterial small subunit ribosomal RNA
Source: RNAcentral
CAGCCGCCGCGGUAAUACGAAGGGUGCAAGCGUUAAUCGGAAUUACUGGGCGUAAAGCGUGCGUAGGCGGUUUGUUAAGUCUGUUGUGAAAUCCCCGGGCUCAACCUGGGAAUGGCAAUGGAUACUGGCAAGCUAGAGUGUGUCAGAGGAUGGUGAAAUUCCCGGUGUAGCGGUGAAAUGCGUAGAGAUCGGGAGGAACAUCAGUGGCGAAGGCGGCCAUCUGGGACAACACUGACGCUGAGGCACGAAAGCGUGGGGAGCAAACAGGAUUAGAUACCCCCGUAGUCCCUGUCUCUUAUAC